AGCGGAGGAAAAGAAACCAACAGGGAUUACCUCAGUAACGGCGAGUGAAGCGGUAACAGCUCAAAUUUGAAAUCUGGCUCUCGGGCCCGAGUUGUAAUUUGUAGAAGAUGCUUUGGGUGUGGCUCCGGUCUAAGUUCCUUGGAACAGGACGUCAUAGAGGGUGAGAAUCCCGUACGUGACUGGUGGCCUUCGCUCGUGUAAAGCUCUUUCGACGAGUCGAGUUGUUUGGGAAUGCAGCUCAAAAUGGGUGGUAUAUUUCAUCUAAAGCUAAAUAUUGGCCAGAGACCGAUAGCGCACAAGUAGAGUGAUCGAAAGAUGAAAAGCACUUUGGAAAGAGAGUUAAACAGUACGUGAAAUUGUUGAAAGGGAAGCGCUUGCAACCAGACUUGCAGGCUGUUGAUCAUCCGGGGUUCUCCCCGGUGCACUCGGCAGUUUUCAGGCCAGCAUCGGUUUGGGUGGUGGGAUAAAGGCCUUGGGAAUGUGGCUCUCUUCGGGGAGUGUUAUAGCCCAAGGUGCAAUGCCGCCUACCUGGACCGAGGACCGCGCUUCGGCUAGGAUGCUGGCGUAAUGGUUGUAAGCGACCCGUCUUG
This 590-nucleotide ribosomal RNA is filed under the name Arachnopeziza aurata. RNAcentral describes it as "eukaryotic LSU rRNA". It matches the Rfam family "Eukaryotic large subunit ribosomal RNA", at positions 49 to 656 of the family's 3401-position model. Lineage: Eukaryota; Fungi; Ascomycota; Leotiomycetes; Helotiales; Arachnopezizaceae. The record is from RNAcentral.